GAUGAACGCUGGCGGCGUGCCAAAUACAUGCAAGUCGAGCGAACAGACGAGAAGCUUGCUUCUCUGAUGUUAGCGGCGGACGGGUGAGUAACACGUGGGUAACCUACCUAUAAGACUGGGAUAACUCCGGGAAACCGGGGCUAAUACCGGAUAAUAUUUUGAACCGCAUGGUUCGAUAGUGAAAGACGGUUUCGGCUGUCACUUAUAGAUGGACCCGCGCCGUAUUAGCUAGUUGGUAAGGUAACGGCUUACCAAGGCGACGAUACGUAGCCGGCCUGAGAGGGUGAUCGGCCACACUGGAACUGAGACACGGUCCAGACUCCUACGGGAGGCAGCAGUAGGGAAUCUUCCGCAAUGGGCGAAAGCCUGACGGAGCAACGCCGCGUGAGUGAUGAAGGUCUUCGGAUCGUAAAACUCUGUUGUUAGGGAAGAACAAAUUUGUUAGUAACUGAACAAGUCUUGACGGUACCUAACCAGAAAGCCACGGCUAACUACGUGCCAGCCGCCGCAGUAA
RNAcentral lists this ribosomal RNA (514 nucleotides) under uncultured bacterium. RNAcentral's name for it is "partial 16S ribosomal RNA". It matches the Rfam family "Bacterial small subunit ribosomal RNA", at positions 28 to 523 of the family's 1533-position model. The record is from RNAcentral.